This 852-nucleotide ribosomal RNA is filed under the name uncultured bacterium. RNAcentral's name for it is "bacterial SSU rRNA". It matches the Rfam family "Bacterial small subunit ribosomal RNA", at positions 605 to 1451 of the family's 1533-position model. The record is from RNAcentral.
CGGCUCANCCGUGGAGGGUCAUUGGAAACUGUUAAACUUGAGUGCAGGAGAGAAAAGUGGAAUUCCUAGUGUAGCGGUGAAAUGCGUAGAGAUUAGGAGGAACGCCAGUGGCGAAGGCGGCUUUUUGGCCUGUAACUGACACUGAGGCGCGAAAGCGUGGGGGGCAAACAGGAUUAGAUACCCUGGUAGUCCACGCCGUAAACGAUGAGUGCUAAGUGUUGGUCUCAUAAGAGAUCAGUGCUGCAGCUAACGCAUUAAGCACUCCGCCUGGGGAGUACGACCGCAGGGUUGAAACUCAAAGGAAUUGACGGGGACCCGCACAAGCGGUGGAGCAUGUGGUUUAAUUCGAAGCAACGCGAAGAACCUUACCAAGUCUUGACAUACUGUGAGGACACAAGAGAUUGUGUUGUUCUGACCUUUGGUUAGACACAGAUACAGGUGGUGCAUGGUUGUCGUCAGCUCGUGUCGUGAGAUGUUGGGUUAAGUCCCGCAACGAGCGCAACCCUUAUAUCUAGUUGCCAGCAGUAAGAUGGGGACUCUAGAUAGACUGCCAGUGAUAAACUGGAGGAAGGUGGGGAUGACGUCAAAUCAUCAUGCCCCUUAUGACUUGGGCUACACACGUGCUACAAUGGAUAGGAACAAAGAGAAGCGAGCUCGCGAGAGUAAGCAAACCUCACAAAACUAUUCUCAGUUCGGAUUGUAGUCUGCAACUCGACUACAUGAAGCUGGAAUCGCUAGUAAUCGCGAAUCAGAAUGUCGCGGUGAAUACGUUCCCGGGUCUUGUACACACCGCCCGUCACACCACGAGAGUUUGUAACACCCGAAGACGGUGGCCUAACCUUUUAGGAGGGA